Rhodovulum sulfidophilum is the source of this 115-nucleotide non-coding RNA. The record is from Rfam. NCBI's taxonomy places the organism in Bacteria, Pseudomonadati, Pseudomonadota, Alphaproteobacteria, Rhodobacterales, Paracoccaceae.
UUUGGUGGUCAUAGCACGAGCAAAACACCCGGCUCCAUUCCGAACCCGGCCGUUAAGUGCCGUCGCGCCGAUGGUACUGCGUCUCAAGACGUGGGAGAGUAGGUCGCCGCCAAAC